RNAcentral lists this ribosomal RNA (740 nucleotides) under uncultured Microvirga sp. RNAcentral's name for it is "bacterial SSU rRNA". It matches the Rfam family "Bacterial small subunit ribosomal RNA", at positions 8 to 796 of the family's 1533-position model. The record is from RNAcentral. Lineage: Bacteria; Pseudomonadati; Pseudomonadota; Alphaproteobacteria; Hyphomicrobiales; Methylobacteriaceae.
AGAGUUUGAUCAUGGCUCAGAACGAACGCUGGCGGCAGGCUUAACACAUGCAAGUCGAACGCACCGCAAGGUGAGUGGCAGACGGGUGAGUAACGCGUGGGAACGUGCCCUUCAGUUCGGGAUAACCCAGGGAAACUUGGGCUAAUACCGGAUACGUGCGAGAGCAGAAAGAUUCAUCGCUGAAGGAUCGGCCCGCGUCUGAUUAGCUAGUUGGUAGGGUAAUGGCCUACCAAGGCGACGAUCAGUAGCUGGUCUGAGAGGAUGAUCAGCCACAUUGGGACUGAGACACGGCCCAGACUCCUACAGGAGGCAGCAGUGGGGAAUAUUGGACAAUGGGCGCAAGCCUGAUCCAGCCAUGCCGCGUGAGUGAUGAAGGCCCUAGGGUUGUAAAGCUCUUUCACCGGUGAAGAUAAUGACGGUAACCGGAGAAGAAGCCCCGGCUAACUUCGUGCCAGCAGCCGCGGUAAUACGAAGGGGGCUAGCGUUGUUCGGAAUCACUGGGCGUAAAGGGCGCGUAGGCGGCCUGAUAAGUCGGGGGUGAAAGCCUGUGGCUCAACCACAGAAUUGCCUUCGAUACUGUCGGGCUUGAGACCGGAAGAGGUAAGUGGAACUGCGAGUGUAGAGGUGAAAUUCGUAGAUAUUCGCAAGAACACCAGUGGCGAAGGCGGCUUACUGGUCCGGUUCUGACGCUGAGGNGCGAAAGCGUGGGGAGCAAACAGGAUUAGAUACCCCCGUAGUCC